GCAGCCGCCGCGGGAAUACAGAGGGUGCGAGCGUUAAUCGGAUUUACUGGGCGUAAAGCGUGCGUAGGCGGCUAAUUGAGUCGGAUGUGAAAUCCCCGAGCUUAACUUGGGAAUUGCAUUCGAUACUGGUUAGCUAGAGUGUGGGAGAGGAUGGUAGAAUUCCAGGUGUAGCGGUGAAAUGCGUAGAGAUCUGGAGGAAUACCGAUGGCGAAGGCAGCCAUCUGGCCUAACACUGACGCUGAGGUACGAAAGCAUGGGGAGCAAACAGGAUUAGAUACCCCCGUAGUCCCUGUCUCUUAUAC
This 302-nucleotide ribosomal RNA is filed under the name uncultured bacterium. RNAcentral's name for it is "partial 16S ribosomal RNA". It matches the Rfam family "Bacterial small subunit ribosomal RNA", at positions 508 to 807 of the family's 1533-position model. The record is from RNAcentral.